UACGUAGGUGGCAAGCGUUGUCCGGAAUUACUGGGCGUAAAGGGCGUGUAGGCGGCGAUUUAAGUCAGAUGUGAAAGAUCAGGGCUUAACCCUGGAGGUGCAUUUGAGACUGGAUGGCUUGAGGACCGGAGAGGGCAGUGGAAUUCCCAGUGUAGCGGUGAAAUGCGUAGAUAUUGGGAGGAACACCAGUGGCGAAGGCGACUGCCUGGACGGCACCUGACGCUGAGGAGCGAAAGCUAGGGGAGCAAACGGG
This 253-nucleotide ribosomal RNA is filed under the name uncultured bacterium. Its description in RNAcentral is "partial 16S ribosomal RNA". It matches the Rfam family "Bacterial small subunit ribosomal RNA", at positions 524 to 776 of the family's 1533-position model. The record is from RNAcentral.